Molecule: ribosomal RNA, 1476 nt
Filed under: uncultured Bordetella sp.
Lineage: Bacteria; Pseudomonadati; Pseudomonadota; Betaproteobacteria; Burkholderiales; Alcaligenaceae
Description: partial 16S-23S ribosomal RNA intergenic spacer
Rfam family: Bacterial small subunit ribosomal RNA
Source: RNAcentral
GGUUUGAUCCUGGCUCAGAUUGAACGCUGGCGGGAUGCUUACACAUGCAAGUCGAACGGCAGCACGGACUUCGGUCUGGUGGCGGAGUGGCGAACGGGUAUAACGUAUCGGAACGCUCUUGGUAGCGGGGAUAACUACGCGAAAGUGUAGCCAAUACCGCAAGGUACGCCCUUCGGGGAAAGCGGGGACCUUCGGGCCUCGCACUAUUAGAGUGGCCGAUAUCGGGGAUUAGCUAGCUAAAAACAGGCCAUCAUGCGAUUGAUCCGCAGCUGGUUUGAGAGGACGACCAGCCACACUGGGACUGAGACACGGCCCAUUCCUACGGGAGGCAGCAGGGAAAUUUUUGGACAAUGGGGGAAACCCCUGAUCCAGCCAUCCCGCGUGUGCGAUGAAGGCCUCGGGUUGUAAAGCACUUUUGGCAGGAAAGAAACGGCACGGAUAAUACCCCCGUGCAACUGACGGUACCUGCAGAAUAAGCACCGGUUAACCACGUGCCAGCAGCCGCGGUAAUACGUAGGGUGCAAGCGUUAAUCGGAAUUACCGGGCGAAGCGUGCGCGCAGGCGGUUCAAAAAAGAAAGAUGUGAAUCCCAGAGCUUAACUUUGGAACUGCAUUUUUAACUACCGAGCUAGAGUGUGUCAGAGGGAGGUGGAAUUCCGCGUAGCAGCGAAUGCAGAUAUGCGGAGGAACACCGAUGGCGAAGUUAUUUCGAUAACACUGCCGAUCGCUCAUGCACGAAAGCGUGGGGAGCAAACAGGAUUAGAUACCCUGGUAGUCCACGCCCUAAACGAUGUCAACUAGCUGUUGGGGCCUUCGGCCUCAGAAGCGGCGAAGAACACGGUAAAGUUGACCGCCCGGGGAGCACGGUUCUGCAAGAUUAAAACUCAAAGGAAUUGACGGGACCCGCACAAGCGGUGGAUGAUGUGGAUUAAUUCGAUGCAACGCGAAAAACCUUACCUACCCUUGACAUUGGAAUCCCGAAGAGAUUUGGGAGUGCUCGCAAGAGAACCGGAACACAGGUGCUGCAUGGCUGUCGUCAGCUCGUGUCGUGAGAUGUUGGUUAAGUCCCGCAACGAGCGCAACCCUUGUCAUUAGUUGCUACGAAAGGGCACUCGACGAGACUGCCGGUGACAAACCGGAGGAAGGUGGGGAUGACGCUCGAAAGUCCGUUAUGGUCUCGUAGUGGUAGGCCCACACGUCAUAUGCAAUGGUCGGGACAGAGGGUCGCUAACCCGCGAGGGGGAGCUGUUUGGAUCCAGAAACCCGAUCGUAGUCCGGAUCGCAGUCUGCAACCUGAUCAUGCAGGUCGGAAUCGCUAGUAACUGGUGACCAGCAGCGGUCGCGGUGAAUACGUUCCCGGGUCUUGUACACACCGCCCGUCACAAUCAUGGGAGUGGGUUUACCAGAAGUAGUUAGGUCAACCGUAAGGAGGGCGAUUACCACGGUAGGAUUCAUGACUGGGUAGUCAGAACAAGGU